CCGGAGUUUAGCAUAAAGUACUUUGGGUGCUCAACUAUAUAGAAAGGCAAUAUAUAAAUGAUCAGGUUAUUGGUUAAAUUGUAUUUAGGGUAUGGAUUGUAUAGGAAGAUUAAGGUUGUAAAGAGGUGUGGCCUAACAAUCCGAAGUUCCUAAAGGUAUGUGCCAAAGUAUCCUUCAGUAAGAUACUGAACCCCUCGUUUCCCCAAUCCAUCCUCUGGUGAGUGAGAAAGUACUUAGACAUCAAUAGAAAUGCCGUAUUAUUGUGUGUGAUUAGGUGAAUGAGACUUGCAGUAGUACCAGUCCACUUACCCUUUACACAAUGAAAACGUAGAGCUUGCUCAUGCAUGUACAAAAUUGGAGGAUUUUCCCAGGAGAUGGUCGUGAAUUAUGGGAGUGUUGUCAGCCAUGGCUGCAGUGUUAUUUCUGCUUCUCAUCUUCCAAUUUUUUAUGAACUCUGCUCUCACACCGUUUCCUGCUCAACAAACUUUUCAGAUAAUUAGCAAUCUACCUACACAGGAUCGUCACCUUCAUGCUACACUAUGUGCUUCUGGGUUUUUUUCUUUUUUUUUAGCGCUGGUUGCAUACCCAAAAUUCUUCACUGUGUUUGCCACAGAUCAAGGUAAACGGACUCAAAUGUGUCACGGUGAAUACCGCUUGAGUAUAUGUGUUUACAGAUGUCUGGGUCUGCGUGUUCUUAUUUUUGCACAAUGCACUUGUACUGGAAGCACAACCUUGUGAUUUUGAUUGGAUUGGUACCCAACUGUUUCAAGCAAACAAACAAAAAAAAGAAGAAGUAACGUUCUGUGUUGCUGCAUUUGAAAAGAAUUCCUCCAAUGCUAAAUGUUAUGUUUAAUACAAACACAUUCUUAAAAGAGAUAUACGUCUCAUGCUAUACUACGACUCACUUAUUAUAGUGGCCUCGUUAGAUAUUGCCACACACAUAGUCUGGAACGACAAUAAAUUAGAAAUACGAACCUUCAGGUUGCUUCUUUAUUUGUAUAGAAAA
This is a long non-coding RNA of Astatotilapia calliptera (eastern happy), 1006 nucleotides long. NCBI's taxonomy places the organism in Eukaryota, Metazoa, Chordata, Actinopteri, Cichliformes, Cichlidae. The record is from Ensembl.